Molecule: ribosomal RNA, 435 nt
Filed under: uncultured bacterium
Lineage: Bacteria
Description: bacterial SSU rRNA
Rfam family: Bacterial small subunit ribosomal RNA
Source: RNAcentral
AUUGAACGCUGGCGGCAGGCCUAACACAUGCAAGUCGAACGCUCGUAGCAAUACGGGAGUGGCAGACGGGUGCGCAACGCGUGGGAACAUGCCCUUUGGUUCGGAAUAACUCAGGGAAACUUGAGCUAAUACCGGAUAAGCCCGAGAGGGGAAAGAUUUAUUGCCGAAGGAUUGGCCCGCGUCUGAUUAGCUAGUUGGUAGGGUAAUGGCCUACCAAGGCGACGAUCAGUAGCUGGUCUGAGAGGAUGAUCAGCCACACUGGGACUGAGACACGGCCCAGACUCCUACGGGAGGCAGCAGUGGGGAAUAUUGGACAAUGGGCGCAAGCCUGAUCCAGCCAUGCCGCGUGAGUGAUGACGGCCUUAGGGUUGUAAAGCUCUUUUACCUGGGAAGAUAAUGACGGUACCAGGAGAAUAAGCCUCGGCUAACUUCGUG